This is a long non-coding RNA of Bubalus bubalis (water buffalo), 7417 nucleotides long. RefSeq lists it as uncharacterized. Lineage: Eukaryota; Metazoa; Chordata; Mammalia; Artiodactyla; Bovidae. The transcript has 2 exons. The record is from RefSeq and is a predicted model, not a curated record.
UUCCAUGGGCAGAGGAGCCUGGUGGGCUACAGUCCAUGGAGUUGCAAAGAGUUCAACAUGGCUGAACACACACACACACACACACACACAAGUACACACACACACACACAAACAUUACAUGGUACAUGGGCUUAUUUUGUUUGUGCGCCAGAGGUCUUUACCCCAGCUUCCAAGUUAACAGUUACUACUGCAUCCCCCAACCUGUAAAGGGCACUGGUGAGAAGUCGAUUGUCCCAGAUAGAAGAGGGAGGCUCUUACCUCACUGAUGAUUUUAGCAGAAUUUGUGAGCAUUUGCAUCUUCCUUCAUCAUCUGCUCCGAAAAAUAGAGAUGGCUCAUUCCAGCUGAUCCUGGUGAGAAUGGGGUGGCUCUGGUUAACACAAAUGAUCCUUUUCAGACUGUGCUUCUUGGAGAGGGGAGCAAAGUGCCCACAAGCACUGACAAGAUCCUGCACGAAUAUGUUCCCAUUUCUUGUGCAAACCAAUAAUUUAUUUGUUUUCCAUAGUGAAGCCCAAAGCAUAGAAGGUUCGUAAUUUUCAAAAAUUAUUUAUUAUCAUGAUAACACUUCUCCACAGGCAGCAGAUAGCCCAUUAUUCAGAAUUAUAACCUAUCCUGGUUUUUGAUCCUGCCUGAAUAAUGAAAUUGGAAGAAAUGCAGGAAAUCUGGGUAUUCGUGUUAACUAACCAUACUUCACUCAACAGGAGGCGGGAACCUCACUCAACCAAAGAUUUGUUUAUUUUCUCAAAAAGGCAUAUUUUGUGCUCAGGGCCUCUGGUUUUUAACUUUCCAACACCAGUGAAGAGUCAUUGAGUAAUUUUUAACUGCAGGAUGCAUCUCUUUCCCCAGAUAUUCCCCACCCACUGCAACAUAUUUCAGUUUAAAUGGCCUGUUCUUUUUCUUCUUAGAGCUGUGUCUCUGCAUGGGUGAGAACUACAAAACCGGUCAGGAGGAAUUUGAUAUGCCAAGUGGGUCAGCUCAUUAUAACUUCUAGGAAACCACAAGAUAAUUGUAGGGCUCUUGCUGGUAGGCUCCUCAGCACUGUGUUAAGCAUUUUUAUACUCUUCUCUGCUCUACUUGCAAGAGCUGCUUCUCUUUACGGUCCCUUUUAUAGGACAUCGGAAUAAAGGUGGUUGACAUGUAUUUUCAAGGCAGAAUUUUCCAGGCAGUGUCCAGGGCUUAUCUGGUAACUGACCUUAGCGUUUUAAAACAGCAAAAAUAAAAUAUGUGACUCAAUCCCCAUAGUAAGUAGGAAGUAAAUUUUGAAUAGUCAGCUUCAAAUCAUCAGAAUGCCUCUGAUGAUAAAGAGUGAGUUUUUCACUAAAUAAUAGCCUAUUGAUGGAUUCACUCACUAUGAAAUGGUCAGAAUUGACCAACUGAAAUACCUUUUGCUCUUUAUCCCUGUGCUCAGAUUUGUGCCUUCAUUUUUUUCUCCCUCCUUUUCCUCAUUUUUAUCAUAAUUAAUAAUUAUUUUUAUCAUAGAAAAAUCUUCCUAUUUUUAUCAUCAAAAAUAUUUUUUAUUAUUAUAAUAACAGGCGGCAUUGAUAUAGCAUUUACAAUAUGCUUGGGACUCCUCCUGGCACUUUUUAGGCAAUUUAGUUAAGGGAAACAAAUGAAGUAGAUUUAAAUAUUCUCUCUGUCUUACAGUUAAGGCAUGUGAAGCCCAGAGAGGUUAACUCACUUACCUAAGGUCACACAGCUAAUCAAUGGCAUAUUGAGUCUAUGUAGGCAAGUGGUCUGUCUUAAGAGUCUAUGCUUUUAAUCAGUAAGCUGUGCUACUUCUUAGUAUAAAUGCAGUAAGCAGAGAUAAUAAUAAUAUAAUAACAAUGAAUAAUAACAGUAGUAGUAAACAUGACUUAAUAUUUCCUAUGCAUCAGGUACUGUGGCACACGCUUUAAAUCACUCUCAUUAAUCUUCCCAGUAAUUUCAUUAGUUAGUAUCCCUUACUUCGCAUAUUUAGAAACUGACGUAGUUUCUAAACUUGCCCCGUUACACAUAUAGUAAGUAGCAGAGCCACUUAUUAUUGUUGAGAUCAAUCCUGGAGGGCUUCAGGACAUUUCAAGGCCACAGUAAAUCUCUGUGAGGGAGCAGAAGGUGGCGUGGGGAGUUGGAGGAGGUUUGAGAUGGUGGGUCUUUCCGACGAGUCUAUAGUCAGCGAAUCCAUUUCUUGUCUGUUAUCUGUUCUGCUCCAUGAACAUAGCCCCUCACUCUCAGUUCCCGGCUUGAUGGCCUUGAUGAGAAGAGUGAAUGUGGAAUGGCACAGAGGCAUUGCCACAGCUAGCUCUCUUGCCUAAAGUGAUGCCUUGUAACCCGGUAAUGCCUGCCGCGUGCCCAGAAGCCAGGCCUGUGGGCAUCCUGACCUCCUUUGCCCCUCAGGAAGUGGCCAUGUGGGUCCUGAGACUGCUCUGUUCACGAUGAGCAUGAAACUGCGCCACCGUCUCCUCCUUGGUGGCUCAGUUCUUGCCAUCCCUCUCCUGUCGCUUUGAGAAGUUCAGUGUCCUCCUCCUUGAAAGGUCUUACUGGAACAAAGAUGUCUAUGGCUCUCCCUGUCCCUCUGGCCUUAGCCGCCACAAGCCAAAUUGGGGGCUGAGUACCCUUGGAGUCAGGCUCCAAGAUUCAUUACUCAGAAAAAGUUCUGCUUUGUGUGAACUUGGUCAAGUCUAGAACAGCCACAGAACAUAAACUUCAAAAGUUUCAACUGGCUCCAUUCUAUUGGAGUUAAAGAAGCAACUCAAUAACCAUUUAUUGCAAAUUUUAACCAUAUUUUCCCUUAAGAUUUAUCAACACCUUUCUCUGGAUGGUGGGGUUUUGAGUGUGGCCCUUUUGUUUUAGUGUGCAAAAAUGGAAUGCACACAGGGGUGGCACUCAUCAGAAUGAAGUCAGAAAAAUGGAAGAUUCCAGUGUUUUUAUGCCGGUUCAUUCUUGCUCUCUAUCUGUGUAUACGUGCAUGUGUGUGUCUGCCCGUGUCUGAGUCUGUGACACGUGGUCAGCAGUGUCUUUUGGAGGCUGGCCUCCUUCUCUGUCAUCUCUAGGAGCGUCUCCACAAGGGACAACCCCCUUGAAGUAUUUCUGUGUCUUUCUCCUUGUUUCCCACUGUUUGCUUUCCAUUCCCCCAUCACAUGUUAAUGGCUCACAUCAUCUUCCCUUUUCAUCACCCGAAAAACAAAAUCUCACUUGGCUUCUUCUCUGAUUUCAGCCUGUCACUUGAUGAGGUCCCUGCUAUUUAUAUUUUUGUUUGUAGGAGGGAGCGGGGAACGUAUAAAUAAAGCCCAGGCAAACCCAACCGCCCGGCUGGAUACGAAGGGACUCCCUCAUCUCAUGGCAGCAGGGCUGCCUAACUGGUAGUUAAGCAGGGCCCAAGAGGUCCACACUGUGAAUGCCGUUGAAAGGGUUACUGGGAAAUGCAAACAAAAACAACAUGCAAAUGAGGCUGCCAGCAACAGGUAGACUUAAUCAGAUGCUGUCAGAUGAAUUCAGCAUCUCCCCGAUUGUCGCCUCUCUUUGCCUCCCAUUCGGAAGCCCUCAUCUGCUCCAGAUGUGGUUUAAUUUACUGCGACUUGGCUAAUUACUGUAAUUAAGGAUUAAUUACUGUUAAUUACUUUCACAUAAACUCAACGCCAGUCAAAGAGCGGAGCCUUAUGAAGUCUGCCACCGAAGUGAGCACGGCUCGGCGGCCUGUGUGAGCUCUGCAGGUCUCUGUGUAUUGCCUGGGCCCCUGCUGCCACAAAUCUGCCUGACCUUCCAGCAUCACCAGCGGGAUGCGAGGGCCAAAAGUGCAGGAAGGGUCAGCGCUCCAACCCGCACAGGGCAUCAACUACCAGGACCCUUAGAUACUGGUGUUUCCCUCAAGUUCUGAUCUCACAUGGGCUAUGAAAGGAUCUCAUUCUACAUACAUCCUGAUUCCAUCCAUCUCAGGAUGUCUGUGACUCAUCCUCCAGACUGAGAACUCCUUGAUGCCAAGUUGUGUGUUUCAUUCAUUGUUCUGUCCCACAGAGAUGUAGUGGUACCGUCAACAUGAUGUUGUUCCUGUUUUUUGGACCGUGCAACCCUGAGCCAUACGCAUCUUUUGAUAUCCACCAGUGCAACUUUCAAGGAUCUUUCUUGUUUCCUGUUCCACCUUUACCACUGCAAAGGAGAAUUUUUCUGUUGGGGUGAGGCAGGUCUUUGAAUUUGUCAUUCAAGAAAAUCCUAGGACUAGAUUGUUUCAAAGUGGGGUCGGAAAAGGGUCUUUUUGAUUGUGAAAUUCCAAAAGAUAUAUCACUGAUGCAGAAAAAGAAUGCUGGAAUACUUUGUGAUAUGUUUUUAUUCUCUGUAUUAUCAUCUCUAUAAAAAGUAAGCUGCCUGGACGUAAGUAGGGUUGUCUUCAUAUUGACAAAAGGAUACUGCUCAAGUGAAAAGGAAACCUUAAUUGAGGGAAAAAGAAACAUUGAAAUGAUUUUUUUACUAUUGCCAAUUAAAUUAUUCAGUAAAUUGAAAAAUAGUUUUUAUAUUUGAAUCAAUUAUAAGUAAGAUUUUAACUUUUAUUAAAUAUUUUAAAAUCUUAAACUAAACCGGCUGAUCAAUUAAAGAAAAAUGUUUCAUAAAAUUAAACUGUGUUUUUUUUUAAAUAGACCUGUUUUGUGUUUGUUUCUAUGUCACAGAAAUAUGCUAUUAAUUUUUUUCUUUAGUUGACUAGAGUGCAAAUGGGUUAUUGGUAUUACUCAUACCCAUGCAGGUAUUCACUUACUCUGUGUUACUGUGUUAUGUAAGUGUAGAUUCAUUUUGUAUGUGUACUGUAUUAUAUUUUGUACAUGCUUGUAUUUUUCACUACAUGUUUGCACUUUGUGAUUUGAAUGGAUGUUCAGAUAUAUGUGAUUUCAGUGGGAGUACACUUUAUAUACGGAGGAAAGACACUUUAUAUACAGAGCAAAGACAUCAAGACUGUAUGUUUUGAAGUUACCUGCUUUCUUGUUUUCCCCUGGAAUUUUAUGUUAAGGAAUAUGUUUCUGAAAGUCUAGAUUCCCAGUGAUGGUUUAAAGGAAGUGUUUCUUGUAUACCAGGAACCAGAAUCAACUUCAAUGGACAAUUCAUUUGCAAGUGUAAAAUAACAGAAAAUAUCAAACUACACUGCAAAAUUAUUUAACUGCAUUCUAGUAUUUCUUGACUGAAUAAUCAACUGCACGACUUGAAUUUCUCCUUCCAAGUGAUUUGUAAGCCAUCACCGUCAGAUAAUGUGUUUGUCAUGGCUAUGUACUAACUCUUAAAAUCAGGUAUUGGGUAUUUUUUUCCUCAUUGUAUAAAAUGGCUAUAACAUAAAUGGCUCACGUAACGUACUGUUUGAAUGCCUGUUGUAUGUCACACACAGGACCAAGCCCUGGGGAUAACAUGGUAUUAAAUUAUCUGUAGUGAUGAAUUACAGUGCGAUAAAAUUAAUAAUAACCAUUACCACGAGAAACAAAUAUAGUUUGACAUAUUGAACACUUUUUUGUCCUGUGGUGGUAUGCAUUUACUUAAAUGUCUGGAUAGCAUGUAAGGAGCUAGGAAUGGAAAGAUGAUACUAUGAUAGAACUGUGAUCUGGAGGGGGACUAGUUAUAUAAUUUUUCUGCCAAUGCCGUCAGGUAUUUCGGGAAUAUCUCUGAAAUAAGGAAAUGUGGAAUAAAGAGAUAAUAUUGUGACAUCAUUUUCCAAACUAGAGAGCAAGAACUGUAGUUAUUAGGUGAGAAGGGAAACAGAACAUUUCAGAUUUUUCUAUAAUUCAUUGAUGCUACUAUAAAAAUAUACAUCUUCAGGUAAAGUUCACUGUAAAUGUUUAAUUAGAUUAUAUAUUAUGCAGUUAUUUAUGUUAUAUUGCAUAAGCUACAUAUCCACUGUAGCUUUGGCUCAUCUCUAAUCAAAUUACAAUAUAUAUUCCAAAGUAUCUGCAGCACCACAGUCAUUUGAAACAAAUAUAUAUCGCUUUUGUAAAAUGAAUUGUUUAGAUAUAAGUAUUCAUUCAACAUUUAGUACAAAAGAAUGUAUUGAAUGGAUAGAGAGACCCAAAGUAAGCAUACAUAGAUAUGCAUAGUCUAGAUAGAAUGAGACUAAUUUGUGUACAUUGUCCACAUAUAGAAUAUGUACGUUUUUAUACUUGAGCAGUUUUUUUGGUAAAUAUUAAAGAUUCAUAUGUGGUUAUGUGUGGGCUUGUAUCCCCAUGGGCUGAUUCAGGGACUUGUGUAUAGGAGCAUCUCCUUACUGAUAGUAGCAACAAAGCUGAAAAGAAAGCAAUUGAGAGAGCAAGGGAGAAGGGAAGAGAACAGCCGUGAUUAAGUCGGCAUUGUUCUAUACGAUCGCCGGCUGCCUGCUAUUGUUUUCCAGCAUUUGAAGAUGAAACAUAUUCAUUUAGCUUUCAGAACGGAUGGCUUUAAUAAGGGCAGAGCAGAGAGGUGGGGUAACACUGAUGACUAGAGAGACCCAUCAAGGCUCCCCCUAAGGCCAUUCCGUCAGAGCCGGGGACCACAUGACCAUUAACUCUGCAAUCAGGACAAGUUUUCAACAUUCCGGGGUAUCCUUCAAUGGCAAAAAGAGUCGUUUGGAGUCAAGGGAAGAUGUAUAUCAGCAGUAAUUGGAUUCUGGCCAAAGCUCUUAGGACGGUAUUAUCUUUGGUGAGGGAAUUGGGAGGGGCUGGGCUGAGCCAAGCGGGUGUGAUCCCAGCCAGAGUCAAGAGAGCAGCAGCCACGAGGCCUCAAGCUGGGGGUGUCCCGGCACACCGAGCUGCUGGUUUGCCCAGGAGUCAGUAGGGCCUGUCUGUGGGUGUAAGUGAUCCUCUUUCCCCGGCAGAAAAAGGUUUCUGAAUAUCCCAAGGGAUGAAACUUUGGGCUCCCAAGGAUGAGGCCACCCUGGUUGCACUUGACUAGACAAAGCUAUUUAAGGCCUGAAAGUGCCCCACGCACCCUCUCCCCACUGCUGCCCCCUCCCCUCUCUUCACCCUGACUACUUCAUUACAAUCUGCCUUCAGGCCGGAAUUGCCCUGCUUAAGCCUCAAAUCAUUAUAAUUACCAUUAUUAGAAAUAGCUGCAGGGGAGGCAUUGGAACACCAAGUAAAAAUGUGUGAGUGUGUCCGCCGGCCCUGGAAUCACUCCUUUUGAGCUCAGGGGACCACAAGGCAUGAAGGUUCCACCAAAGCCAGCUAAUGCGAUGGCUGUCAGCUCUACUCACCCCACCUGUCAAGAGGGGGAUGCAGUGGGGUUCAUUUUUUUAAUUGACACCUUCCUCUCUCAUUCCACGCUCUCUAGUCUCAACCUAAUUCCUCCUUUCAUCUUCCUUCUUUGAGAAAAUCCAUUCCUUUGCUCUCCAAAUAAAGAAAAGGGGAAAAAACCACACAAGGAACAGUGAGAUACACAUUAUCCUCCAGGGGGAAAAAAAAAAAACAAAACACAACACAUAGAUUUUAACAAAGGUGCAAA